GCAUAUCAAUAAGCGGAGGAAAAGAAACCAACAGGGAUUGCCCUAGUAACGGCGAAGUGAAGCGGCAACAGCUCAAAUUUGAAAUCUGGCUCUCGGGCCCGAGUUGUAAUUUGUAGAGGAUGCUUUUGGUGCGGUGCCUUCCGAGUUCCCUGGAACGGGACGCCAUAGAGGGUGAGAGCCCCGUCUGGUCGGACACCAAUCCUCUGUAAAGCUCCUUCGACGAGUCGAGUAGUUUGGGAAUGCUGCUCUAAAUGGGAGGUAUAUGUCUUCUAAAGCUAAAUAUAGGCCAGAGACCGAUAGCGCACAAGUAGAGUGAUCGAAAGAUGAAAAGCACUUUGAAAAGAGAGUUAAAAAGUACGUGAAAUUGUUGAAAGGGAAGCGCUUGUGACCAGACUUGGGGCCGGUGAAUCAUCCAGCGUUCUCGCUGGUGCACUUCGCCGGUCCUAGGCCAGCAUCAGUUUGCCCCGGGGGACAAAGGCUUCGGGAAUGUGGCUCCUCCGGGAGUGUUAUAGCCCGUCGCGUAAUACCCUGGGGCGGACUGAGGUUCGCGCAUCUGCAUGGAUGCUGGCGUAAUGGUCAUCAGCGACCCGUCUUGAAACACGGACCAAGGAGUCGUCUUCGUAUGCGAGUGUUCGGGUGUCAAACCCCUACGCGUAAUGAAAGUGAACGCAGGUGAGAGCUUCGGCGCAUCAUCGACCGAUCCUGAUGUUCUCGGAUGGAUUUGAGUAAGAGCAUACGGGGCCGGACCCGAAAGAAGGUGAACUAUGCCUGUAUAGGGUGAAGCCAGAGGAAACUCUGGUGGAGGCUCGCAGCGGUUCUGACGUGCAAAUCGAUCGUCAAAUAUGGGCAUGGGGGGCGAAAGACUAAUCGAACCUUCUAGUAGCUGGUUUCCGCGA
Molecule: ribosomal RNA, 896 nt
Filed under: Fusarium ventricosum
Lineage: Eukaryota; Fungi; Ascomycota; Sordariomycetes; Hypocreales; Nectriaceae
Description: LSU rRNA
Rfam family: Eukaryotic large subunit ribosomal RNA
Source: RNAcentral